GUACUACUGUUUUUAGUGAGUGAGGGUCCAGUGUUUCACAUUGUUUGCUUAAGUAUUUGUGACUAGAUCCACACUCAUUAAAAACGGUAGUUC
Drosophila mojavensis is the source of this 93-nucleotide non-coding RNA. NCBI's taxonomy places the organism in Eukaryota, Metazoa, Arthropoda, Insecta, Diptera, Drosophilidae. The record is from Rfam.